UUGAUUGUGAAGACUGUGAAGUUCGGAGCGUUGAAUUUAUUUAAUAUUUAGUGUUAUCGAGUCACGGAUGGAGUGUAGACGCAUUUCAACGACAAUAUUUAUUUAUUUUAAGAUGUAAACAAAUGACGUGUAUGAAAAAACAGCAGACAUGUCGAGGUAUAAUACUGUGAUUGUGUUUUUAGUGUUUUCUGUGAUUAAGUGCAGUUUAACAAACAGUUUCGUAAACGAACUGGUCACAAGUGCACAUAACCAUGUCCAUUGUAACCACGAACACCCAAAAGUUGAUGAUGACCGUGAUGAUUUUGAGCCAGGUUUAUCCCUCGGUCGCCUUUU
This 333-nucleotide unclassified non-coding RNA is filed under the name Melitaea cinxia (Glanville fritillary). RNAcentral describes it as "misc RNA ENSMCXG00005019904.1". Lineage: Eukaryota; Metazoa; Arthropoda; Insecta; Lepidoptera; Nymphalidae. The record is from RNAcentral.